RNAcentral lists this ribosomal RNA (497 nucleotides) under uncultured bacterium. Its description in RNAcentral is "partial 16S ribosomal RNA". It matches the Rfam family "Bacterial small subunit ribosomal RNA", at positions 28 to 507 of the family's 1533-position model. The record is from RNAcentral.
GAUGAACGCUGGCGGCGUGCCUAAUACAUGCAAGUCGAGCGAACAGACGAGGAGCUUGCUCCUCUGACGUUAGCGGCGGACGGGUGAGUAACACGUGGAUAACCUACCUAUAAGACUGGGAUAACUUCGGGAAACCGGAGCUAAUACCGGAUAAUAUAUUGAACCGCAUGGUUCAAUAGUGAAAGACGGUUUUGCUGUCACUUAUAGAUGGAUCCGCGCCGCAUUAGCUAGUUGGUAAGGUAACGGCUUACCAAGGCGACGAUGCGUAGCCGACCUGAGAGGGUGAUCGGCCACACUGGAACUGAGACACGGUCCAGACUCCUACGGGAGGCAGCAGUCGGGAAUCUUCCGCAAUGGGCGAAAGCCUGACGGAGCAACGCCUCGUGAGUGAUGAAGGUCUUCGGAUCGUAAAGCUCUGUUAUUAGGGAAGAACAAAUGUGUAAGUAACUAUGCACGUCUUGACGGUACCUAAUCAGAAAGCAACGGCUAACUACGUG